CUCGUUAGAGCCACCUCCAGCGGAACUUAUUUUGUAGGCCCUUCUUCUCCAACAUCGAGCGGAGCCCAGCAUCACUUUUCUUCGAUCAACCUCAUCGCCCUCAGUCUCGGCCUUGACUGUGUGCACAUUCUCCGAUGACAGCACAUCAUCUUUCAGCACUCCCGCCACCUUCUAAUAGGCACGGCUCCUAGUCGACUCCAGGUCGACUACUAACUACCCACCGG
This 224-nucleotide long non-coding RNA is filed under the name Elaeis guineensis (African oil palm). Its description in RNAcentral is "long non-coding RNA (EGUI_LNC020764)". The record is from RNAcentral. Lineage: Eukaryota; Viridiplantae; Streptophyta; Magnoliopsida; Arecales; Arecaceae.